RNAcentral lists this ribosomal RNA (301 nucleotides) under uncultured bacterium. RNAcentral's name for it is "partial 16S ribosomal RNA". It matches the Rfam family "Bacterial small subunit ribosomal RNA", at positions 509 to 808 of the family's 1533-position model. The record is from RNAcentral.
CAGUCGCCGCGGUAAUACAGAGGCCUCAAGCGUUGUUCGGAUUCAUUGGGCGUAAAGGGUGCGUAGGUGGCUUGGUAAGUUGAAGGUGAAAUCUCGGGGCUUAACCCCGAAACUGCCUUCAAUACUGCUAGGCUCGAGGACUGUAGAGGAGAAUGGAAUUCACGGUGUAGCAGUGAAAUGCGUAGAUAUCGUGAGGAAGACCAGUGGCGAAGGCGAUUCUCUGGGCAGUUCCUGACACUGAGGCACGAAGGCCAGGGGAGCAAACGGGAUUAGAUACCCCAGUAGUCCCUGUCUCUUAUAU